This 453-nucleotide long non-coding RNA is filed under the name Eucalyptus grandis. Its description in RNAcentral is "long non-coding RNA (EGRA_LNC002935)". Lineage: Eukaryota; Viridiplantae; Streptophyta; Magnoliopsida; Myrtales; Myrtaceae. The record is from RNAcentral.
AUCUGAUUCGCAAUAAAGCUUUCUUCAUAUUCAUCACUCGCUAGCUUGCAUUAGAUGUUUAUAACAUAGCAUACAUAUAUGGCUGUGUGAUGUCUUUAUUCCCACAUCUCCUAACAGAAAAUAUCGCAGGGAAUUAGGAACUAACAACUCACAACUACAUCUCCUAACAGAAAAUAUUGCAGGGAAUUAGGAACCAACAACUCACAACUUUAUACAGAAAAGGAUCAUACAGACAUGACCCAUACCAAAAUGAUGGUCACUGACGAGAGGAAUCGGGCAUUCAAACUGAUGGUAUGCUUCUUUGCUGCGUUUGAUGACAGUGGCCACUGAUGAGAGGAAUCGGGCAUUCAAACUGAUGGUCCAAGCAUCGGUCUCUAAGCUCAGAGGCGCUGGUUUGAUUGCGGUACUUGUUUAUCCAAGUAUGUUUCUGUUCCUAUGCUUGAGUGAUUAUGG